This 472-nucleotide ribosomal RNA is filed under the name uncultured bacterium. RNAcentral describes it as "bacterial SSU rRNA". It matches the Rfam family "Bacterial small subunit ribosomal RNA", at positions 355 to 825 of the family's 1533-position model. The record is from RNAcentral.
UGGGGAAUAUUGGACAAUGGGCGAAAGCCUGAUCCAGCCAUGCCGCGUGUGUGAAGAAGGUCUUCGGAUUGUAAAGCACUUUAAGUUGGGAGGAAGGGCAGUUACCUAAUACGUGAUUGUUUUGACGUUACCGACAGAAUAAGCACCGGCUAACUCUGUGCCAGCAGCCGCGGUAAUACAGAGGGUGCAAGCGUUAAUCGGAAUUACUGGGCGUAAAGCGCGCGUAGGUGGUUAGUUAAGUUGGAUGUGAAAUCCCCGGGCUCAACCUGGGAACUGCAUUCAAAACUGACUGACUAGAGUAUGGUAGAGGGUGGUGGGAUUUCCUGUGUAGCGGUGAAAUGCGUAGAUAUAGGAAGGAACACCAGUGGCGAAGGCGACCACCUGGACUGAUACUGACACUGAGGUGCGAAAGCGUGGGGAGCAAACAGGAUUAGAUACCCUUGUAGUCCCUGAGCGGGCUGGCAAGGCGCAU